This is a long non-coding RNA of Sander lucioperca (pikeperch), 225 nucleotides long. RefSeq lists it as uncharacterized. The transcript is spliced from 3 exons. NCBI's taxonomy places the organism in Eukaryota, Metazoa, Chordata, Actinopteri, Perciformes, Percidae. The record is from RefSeq and is a predicted model, not a curated record.
CUAACUCACAGUUUGUCACUUUUCUCAACAGAACAUCGAUACUACUGUGCGCUUUUGGUUGUGUUGGUUACCCGUGGCAACUCGACAGUGUGCAGCUGCCCUCCAGCUCCUCUCCAUCUCCAUCUCCCUCUACUUCUAUCACAUCUGUCUUUACUGGCCCUUCUAUCCACUCUAUCUAUUAUUGGUUCUCUUCACCUCUCUCCUAUAACAUCUACCACUCAUCCC